CAGCAGCCGCGGGAAUACGAAGGGUGCAAGCGUUACUCGGAAUUACUGGGCGUAAAGCGCGCGUGGGCGGCUUUUUAAGUCAGAGGUGAAAGCCCGGGGCUCAACCCCGGAACUGCCUUUGAAACUAGGUGACUAGAAUCUUGGAGAGGUCAGUGGAAUUCCGGGUGUAGAGGUGAAAUUCGUAGAUAUUCGGAAGAGCACCAGUGGCGAAGGCGACUGACUGGACAAGUAUUGACGCUGAGGUGCGAAAGCGUGGGGAGCAAACAGGAUUAGAUACCCCAGUAGUCCCUGUCUCUUAUAC
RNAcentral lists this ribosomal RNA (301 nucleotides) under uncultured bacterium. Its description in RNAcentral is "partial 16S ribosomal RNA". It matches the Rfam family "Bacterial small subunit ribosomal RNA", at positions 509 to 807 of the family's 1533-position model. The record is from RNAcentral.